AACGCUAGCUACAGGCUUAACACAUGCAAGUCGAGGGGCAGCAUGAACUUAGCCUGCUAAGUUUGAUGGCGACCGGCGCACGGGUGAGUAACACGUAUCCAACCUGCCGAUGACUCGGGGAUAGCCUUUCGAAAGAAAGAUUAAUACCCGAUGGCAUAGUUCUUCCGCAUGGUAGAACUAUUAAAGAAUUUCGGUCAUCGAUGGGGAUGCGUUCCAUUAGGUUGUUGGCGGGGUAACGGCCCACCAAGCCUUCGAUGGAUAGGGGUUCUGAGAGGAAGGUCCCCCACAUUGGAACUGAGACACGGUCCAAACUCCUACGGGAGGCAGCAGUGAGGAAUAUUGGUCAAUGGACGAGAGUCUGAACCAGCCAAGUAGCGUGAAGGAUGACUGCCCUAUGGGUUGUAAACUUCUUUUAUACGGGAAUAAAGUGAGGCACGUGUGCCUUUUUGUAUGUACCGUAUGAAUAAGGAUCGGCUAACUCCGUGCCAGCAGCCGCGGUAAUACGGAGGAUCCGAGCGUUAUCCGGAUUUAUUGGGUUUAAAGGGAGCGUAGAUGGAUGUUUAAGUCAGUUGUGAAAGUUUGCGGCUCAACCGUAAAAUUGCAGUUGAUACUGGAUAUCUUGAGUGCAGUUGAGGCAGGCGGAAUUCGUGGUGUAGCGGUGAAAUGCUUAGAUAUCACGAAGAACUCCGAUUG
This 693-nucleotide ribosomal RNA is filed under the name uncultured bacterium. Its description in RNAcentral is "bacterial SSU rRNA". It matches the Rfam family "Bacterial small subunit ribosomal RNA", at positions 32 to 715 of the family's 1533-position model. The record is from RNAcentral.